GAAUCUUGGACAAUGGGCGCAAGCCUGAUCCAGCCAUGCCGCGUGAGUGAAGAAGGCCUUCGGGUUGUAAACCUCUUUCGCCGGUGAGGAUAGUGACGGUAGCCGGAGAAGAAGCCCCGGCUAACUCCGUGCCAGCAGCCGCGGUAAUACGGAGGGGGCUAGCGUUGUUCGGAAUUACUGGGCGUAAAGCGCGCGUAGGCGGCGGUGCAAGUUGGGCGUGAAAGCCCGGGGCUCAACCCCGGAGGUGCGCCCGAGACUGCAUUGCUGGAGGCCGGGAGAGGGUGGCGGAAUUCCCAGUGUAGAGGUGAAAUUCGUAGAUAUUGGGAAGAACACCGGUGGCGAAGGCGGCCACCUGGUCCGGUACUGACGCUGAGGCGCGAAAGCGUGGGGAGCAAACAGG
This 400-nucleotide ribosomal RNA is filed under the name uncultured bacterium. RNAcentral describes it as "bacterial SSU rRNA". It matches the Rfam family "Bacterial small subunit ribosomal RNA", at positions 359 to 776 of the family's 1533-position model. The record is from RNAcentral.